AGAGUUUGAUCCUGGCUCAGAUUGAACGCUGGCGGCAUGCCUUACACAUGCAAGUCGAACGGCAGCAUAGGAGCUUGCUCCUGAUGGCGAGUGGCGAACGGGUGAGUAAUAUAUCGGAACGUGCCCUAGAGUGGGGGAUAACUAGUCGAAAGACUAGCUAAUACCGCAUACGAUCUACGGAUGAAAGUGGGGGAUCGCAAGACCUCAUGCUCCUGGAGCGGCCGAUAUCUGAUUAGCUAGUUGGUGGGGUAAAAGCCUACCAAGGCGACGAUCAGUAGCUGGUCUGAGAGGACGACCAGCCACACUGGGACUGAGACACGGCCCAGACUCCUACGGGAGGCAGCAGUGGGGAAUUUUGGACAAUGGGGGCAACCCUGAUCCAGCAAUGCCGCGUGAGUGAAGAAGGCCUUCGGGUUGUAAAGCUCUUUUGUCAGGGAAGAAACGGUAGUAGCUAAUAUCUAUUACUAAUGACGGUACCUGAAGAAUAAGCACCGGCUAACUACGUGCCAGCAGCCGCGGUAAUACGUAGGGUGCAAGCGUUAAUCGGAAUUACUGGGCGUAAAGCGUGCGCAGGCGGUUGUGUAAGUCAGAUGUGAAAUCCCCGGGCUCAACCUGGGAAUUGCAUUUGAGACUGCACGGCUAGAGUGUGUCAGAGGGGGGUAGAAUUCCACGUGUAGCAGUGAAAUGCGUAGAUAUGUGGAGGAAUACCGAUGGCGAAGGCAGCCCCCUGGGAUAACACUGACGCUCAUGCACGAAAGCGUGGGGAGCAAACAGGAUUAGAUACCCUGGUAGUCCACGCCCUAAACGAUGUCUACUAGUUGUCGGGUCUUAAUUGACUUGGUAACGCAGCUAACGCGUGAAGUAGACCGCCUGGGGAGUACGGUCGCAAGAUUAAAACUCAAAGGAAUUGACGGGGACCCGCACAAGCGGUGGAUGAUGUGGAUUAAUUCGAUGCAACGCGAAAAACCUUACCUACCCUUGACAUGGAUGGAAUCCUGAAGAGAUUUGGGAGUGCUCGAAAGAGAACCAUCACACAGGUGCUGCAUGGCUGUCGUCAGCUCGUGUCGUGAGGUGUUGGGUUAAGUCCCGCAACGAGCGCAACCCUUGUCAUUAGUUGCUACGAAAGGGCACUCUAAUGAGACUGCCGGUGACAAACCGGAGGAAGGUGGGGAUGACGUCAAGUCCUCAUGGCCCUUAUGGGUAGGGCUCCACACGUCAUACAAUGGUACAUACAGAGGGCCGCCAACCCGCGAGGGGGAGCUAAUCCCAGAAAGUGUAUCGUAGUCCGGAUUGGAGUCUGCAACUCGACUCCAUGAAGUUGGAAUCGCUAGUAAUCGCGGAUCAGCAUGUCGCGGUGAAUACGUUCCCGGGUCUUGUACACACCGCCCGUCACACCAUGGGAGCGGGUUUUACCAGAAGUGGGUAGCCUAACCGCAAGGAGGGCGCUCACCACGGUAGGAUUCGUGACUGGGGUGAAGUCGUAACAAGGUAGCCGUA
This 1497-nucleotide ribosomal RNA is filed under the name uncultured bacterium. RNAcentral's name for it is "bacterial SSU rRNA". It matches the Rfam family "Bacterial small subunit ribosomal RNA". The record is from RNAcentral.